This 433-nucleotide ribosomal RNA is filed under the name uncultured bacterium. Its description in RNAcentral is "partial 16S ribosomal RNA". It matches the Rfam family "Bacterial small subunit ribosomal RNA", at positions 29 to 507 of the family's 1533-position model. The record is from RNAcentral.
AACGAACGCUGGCGGCAUGCCUAACACAUGCAAGUCGAACGAGACCUUCGGGUCUAGUGGCGCACGGGUGCGUAACGCGUGGGAACCUGCCCUUAGGUUCGGAAUAACUCCCCGAAAGGGGUGCUACUACCGGAUAAUGUCUUCGGACCAAAGAUUUAUCGCCUUUGGAUGGGCCCGCGUUGGAUUAGCUAGUUGGUAGGGUAAAAGCCUACCAAGGCGACGAUCCAUAGCUGGUCUGAGAGGAUGAUCAGCCACACUUGGACUGAGACACGGCCCAGACUCCUACGGGAGGCAGCAGUGGGGAAUAUUGGACAAUCGGCGAAAGCCUGAUCCAGCAAUGCCGCGUGAGUGAUGAAGGCCUGAGGGUUGUAAAGCUCUUUUACCCGGGAUGAUAAUGACAGUACCGGAAGAAUAAGCUCCGGCUAACUCCGUG